AUGCCAAUCCCGUGGGUUUUCCUUUUGUCUUUGCCUUGGGUUUAUGGAGACUCCUGGAUAUCUCAGGAUCAGCUGUCUUCUACCCGAAACCCAAACAAGACAGUGCACAUAAGCUGCAAGCUCUCUGGAGUCCCCCUGCAGAACACCAUUGUGCACUGGUACCAAAUGAAAGAAGGGGAGUCCCUGAAACGAAUCUUCUAUGGCUCAGCCAAGAAUUACAAGCAAGACAAGCCCAACUCCCGUUUGGAAGCUUAUGAGAAUGAUGGUACCUUUUACCUGAUAAUCAACAAUGUUAUCACAGCAGAUGAAGCCACAUACUACUGUGCCUGCUGGGAUCUCACGGUAUUUGCAGAAGGAACGAAGCUCAUAGUAAUCCCUUCUGACAAAAGCCUUAGUGGGGACCUUUCCCCCAAGCCCACCAUUUUUCUUCCUUCUGUUGCUGAAACAAAUCUCCAUAAGGCUGGGACAUAUCUUUGUCUCCUUGAGAAAUUCUUCCCAGACAUUAUAAGGGUAUACUGGAAAGAAAAGAAUGGUGAUAAGAUCCUGGAAUCCCAGGAAGGGAAUACACUGAAGACUAAUUACACAUACAUGAAAUUUAGCUGGCUUACCGUGGCGGAAAAGUCAAUGCACAAAGAGCACAGAUGUAUUGUCAAACAUGAGAACAACAAACAAGGAGUUGACCAAGAGAUUUCGUUUCCUCCAAUAAAGAAAGUUGCCAUGAGUACUGGACUUACAACUUGCAAGCAUGAUAAUGAUGUGUGGCAGCUUCAGUUCACGAGCACCUCAGCCUACUACACCUACCUUCUCCUACUCCUCAAGAGUGUGAUCCACUUAGCCAUGGUCAGCUUCUUUCUGUUUAGAAGAGCAGCUGUCUGUGGCAAUAAGAAGAGGUCCUAA
Non-coding RNA from Cricetulus griseus (Chinese hamster), 897 nucleotides. Lineage: Eukaryota; Metazoa; Chordata; Mammalia; Rodentia; Cricetidae. The record is from the annotation of a RefSeq genome assembly.